Molecule: long non-coding RNA, 3267 nt
Organism: Brachypodium distachyon (stiff brome)
Lineage: Eukaryota; Viridiplantae; Streptophyta; Magnoliopsida; Poales; Poaceae
Exons: 2
Source: RefSeq, a predicted model, not a curated record
AAAAUCAGUUCGCCCCUCGCGAUCCCUCUCCAGGUCAGAUGAUCAGAUCUCCUCCGAUGGACGAGGCUUCGGGCGAACCCUAGGUGUGCAGCACCGGCGCCGUUCCCUUUGGCUCGCUACCCCGACGACCGUACACCGCAGGCCUCUCCACAUCCCUUCUCUCUUCCCUCACGGCGCCUCGCUCGUGAAACCCUAGCAGCUUGCUUUCCUCCUCUACGCACAGCGACGGCCGUGGCACUCCCAUGAUGUUUCUGCUUCCCCCUCCCUGCACCCACAAGGCCACGACCCUCAUGUCGUCUUCGUGAAGUCAGAUCCGUUUGCCACCGGCAACAGAGGACAAUGGGAGGAGGAGAAGAAAGGUGACGGCCAAGGCUAUUUAGGAAGCAGAUGGGGCUGCCUCACCUGUGGUACAGGGUGGAGUCGACCUCCAAAGCAACUGAGACCUUCACUACGGCACAGCGAAGCCACAACAUUUCCUUCUGCCCGCAUGGUCUCCAGGCGAUGGACUGAUCGUCCAGAUUCAGGUUUGAUUCUUCAGGUUGUCUUUUUUUACCGUAUUUGGCCUCAUCUUGGAUAAGUUGGUCAGUCGACUGCGGAAAAUCAGGUACAAUGUUUUGUGUAAACCAUGUAAUUCGGUUCUUAGUCCACUGUUAAAUUGGUGAAUUGUGCUUGCUUUUAGUUCUUUUUUGAAGUGUUGCAGAUUGUAGCUUGAUUUAGAUGACAGUAUUUUAAAUAUUUCACUUUUAUUUAGCAGCUUGCAUAUCAAUUGCCUAAACAAUCUGGAUCAGAAAUAGCUUGAGUGAAGACUUUCCAUGUGUAAUUAAAAUUCAAAUCCAUAUAAUCUCGCUCCUUCGUGGGUUGCUGCCUCCAGCCUGUCCUCCACGCGCAGCGACUAUUCUCAGUGUGCCCCGUCGUCUGGGAUUGGCCAUGGCAGGAUGGCUUGCAAGGGGAUGUCUCUGGGUGAUGGCUUAGGAGUCCAGCAUCCACAUCCUAGUACACGGACGUUGCCACAUCUGGCAACAAUUAAUACUAUAAGUUAUCUAAACAUCGAGUUAUCCAUGUCUAUAUUUUCUUUUGUAGUUCAGGCUAUGCCGCGCCAAAAGAUGAUGUGUGGAUUCUCCGGUCUCUGGAAGUGUCCCUGCUCUUAAUUGGUGUAUUUAAUCAUACCAUCUUUGUGUUACUGGAUAAAUUAUGCAACGUGCCUAACAUUUAGCUCACUUAAGCAUCAUUAAACGGUUAGUUCUAUUUAUCAUUAUGUCAUGUUCAGUUCAACUCAUAUAUUUAGAUGAAUUCGAACUUUGACUCUACAUCAGUGUCAAAUUUUAUGGUUUACCUACUUUUCUUUUCAUUGCUCAUGAAAAACUGUUAAAUUCACUGGCAAGUUUAUGGAGGGAUUUAUGUUAUUGGUAAUAAAUACACGACUAUGCAGUUCACUGCUGAGUUAACAUCAAAUUCUCCUGGAACUUGUGUUCUCAUGUAGCAGGAAAGAUGCUCUUUUGAAAGUCUUUCUUAGUGUCAAUGGAUAUUCUUCCAUCUAAUUGACUAUUAUUAAGUCCGCUCCGUGCUAAUUCCUAAAAGUUUAUAAACAUAUCUAUUCUGAACGUUGGGUCCUUCAUAUACUCCUCCGUUUUUUACAGGUUCUAAGAACUCCAGUGUCAUUUAAUAUGCUUAGGGAGUAUUUACAAUGGUUAUGGAAAAUCUGUACAUAAUGGCCUACAAUGGUUAUGUGAAAUCUGUAGUCAAUGACCUACCAGUUUUGCCAAAGGCACACUCGAAAAUAUGCAAAAGAUCUAGGAACACCUAGAUUUUGACAUUGCUUUGUUCAUCUGGUCCAAGCUCAAUGCCAACAAAUGGACAUACCCGAUAGAACUGAUUUAUGCUGGCAUAUCUAGAUUUGAUUGCAUGGAUGAUUCAUAGUUCAUAGUCGGAAAAUUCCUCUGUUUGUUCUGUUGGUCUCUGGCGCAAUGAAAUUAUUUCUCAGAUAUGCUAUCAUGCUGGCCUGGUCAAGCAUACAGAGAAAACAGAUAAUAUAUUUUAUGUAUAACAAAGCCAAAAAAGUUCUGAACGGUAGAUAGACAUAAUUAUAGUGAACAUGUAGAUGAGAUAAAUGAUCCUUGAUGGCUAUUUUCUGUAUCAAUCGGGCCCUACACUAAUGUAUAUCAUUUUUGAUGGAUUCCCUAAAGUUCCAAACCUUUCUCACUGGUAAUGGAAUGCUAUAUGCACCUGAAGCGAUUAGUUUUGGAGGGUUUUUCUCUUUUUUGGAAGCGUAUGUCUACCAGAUGGCCUACGACCAUUUCAAAACAUUAACUGACAAUGUUUUUUUCUAUGGUAUUUUUUUCUAACAUCCAAGGACUAAUAAAUAUAUACACUCUGUGUUACUUAGAAAUAAUAUGCUAUUUAGACCAACUGUCUAAUACUCCCUCCGAUCCAUAUUAAUUGUCGAAAUAUUACAUGUAUUUGGAUGCUUUUUAGGCAUAGAUACAUCCAUGUUUGGUCAAAUUUGAGACAAUUAAUAUGGAUCGGAGGGAGUAGAAAUUUAUGUGUCUACGUAUCUACUGAAAACACCAUUUUUACGAUAAUCAGAACUUUUUAUUUAUUUUUUGCUUUUUGAGAAUGCACAGCAAGAUGCACCGUUUAGUUAGACUUUGUCUUCAUAAUGUUUACCGUGUUGAGCACAAGGGUAUAAAGGAAAUAAUUCUUCAACAUUCACAGUGUUGGUCUUUUGACGUCAUAAAUAUUUAUUUACUAGAGAUGCAAGAUAGAAUUGUUUGUGUAGUGCUACAGCCUGGAGAUAAAUCUCCAUAUGCACUUGCACUAUUAAGGUUUUAUGUAAUUAUUCUUUGUGAUUGUGGUCUUCAGUUCUGAUUUCCUCUCUUUGUAACAAUAUACAACUUUCUUGCUGGAUACAAGGAUUGUCAAUAUCUGUUCUUGCUUUGGGAGACAACUCUAAGUCAAGAGGUAUUUCCAUGGUGCUGAAUCAGUUCUAUCUCCAGGCAUACAUCCUAUCUACGGAAUCUACAAAUAUACCAGCUAUCAACCUAAAUUACGAAGGACAUCAUGCUAUUAAACAUCGUCCUUAGGUCCCUUUCAAUUAUGUGCAUAUGAAUUUGUAUAACUCUAUACCUACACUAUUACCAAAACUUAGUACUUUGACCAACAUACAAACCUUUAUUGAGAAUUAUUGAAAUAUCCUUAGUGUCCCAUUUUAGAUGAAUGUAUCUUUCGUAAAAAAAACAAAUUGGAUGGAUCUAUCUUCUUUUGUGAACA